AUUGAACGCUGGCGGCAUGCCUUACACAUGCAAGUCGAACGGUAACAGGUCUUCGGAUGCUGACGAGUGGCGAACGGGUGAGUAAUACAUCGGAACGUGCCCAGACGUGGGGGAUAACGAGGCGAAAGCUUUGCUAAUACCGCAUACGAUCUAAGGAUGAAAGCAGGGGACCGCAAGGCCUUGCGCGGUUUGAGCGGCCGAUGGCAGAUUAGGUAGUUGGUGGGAUAAAAGCUUACCAAGCCGACGAUCUGUAGCUGGUCUGAGAGGACGACCAGCCACACUGGGACUGAGACACGGCCCAGACUCCUACGGGAGGCAGCAGUGGGGAAUUUUGGACAAUGGGCGAAAGCCUGAUCCAGCAAUGCCGCGUGCAGGAUGAAGGCCUUCGGGUUGUAAACUGCUUUUGUACGGAACGAAAAGGCUCUGGCUAAUACCUGGGGCACAUGACGGUACCGUAAGAAUAAGCACCGGCUAACUACGUG
RNAcentral lists this ribosomal RNA (482 nucleotides) under uncultured bacterium. RNAcentral's name for it is "partial 16S ribosomal RNA". It matches the Rfam family "Bacterial small subunit ribosomal RNA", at positions 30 to 507 of the family's 1533-position model. The record is from RNAcentral.